Molecule: ribosomal RNA, 301 nt
Filed under: uncultured bacterium
Lineage: Bacteria
Description: partial 16S ribosomal RNA
Rfam family: Bacterial small subunit ribosomal RNA
Source: RNAcentral
CAGUCGCCGCGGGAAUACAGAGGGUGCAAGCGUUAAUCGGAAUUACUGGGCGUAAAGCGCGCGUAGGUGGUUUGUUAAGUUGGAUGUGAAAUCCCCGGGCUCAACCUGGGAACUGCAUCCAAAACUGGCAAGCUAGAGUAGGGCAGAGGGUGGUGGAAUUUCCUGUGUAGCGGUGAAAUGCGUAGAUAUAGGAAGGAACACCAGUGGCGAAGGCGACCACCUGGGCUCAUACUGACACUGAGGUGCGAAAGCGUGGGGAGCAAACAGGAUUAGAUACCCGGGUAGUCCCUGUCUCUUAUAC